RNAcentral lists this ribosomal RNA (373 nucleotides) under uncultured Bacteroides sp. RNAcentral describes it as "bacterial SSU rRNA". It matches the Rfam family "Bacterial small subunit ribosomal RNA", at positions 523 to 898 of the family's 1533-position model. Lineage: Bacteria; Pseudomonadati; Bacteroidota; Bacteroidia; Bacteroidales; Bacteroidaceae. The record is from RNAcentral.
AUACGGAGGAUCCGAGCGUUAUCCGGAUUUAUUGGGUUUAAAGGGAGCGUAGGUGGACUGGUAAGUCAGUUGUGAAAGUUUGCGGCUCAACCGUAAAAUUGCAGUUGAUACUGUCAGUCUUGAGUACAGUAGAGGUGGGCGGAAUUCGUGGUGUAGCGGUGAAAUGCUUAGAUAUCACGAAGAACUCCGAUUGCGAAGGCAGCUCACUGGACUGCAACUGACACUGAUGCUCGAAAGUGUGGGUAUCAAACAGGAUUAGAUACCCUGGUAGUCCACACAGUAAACGAUGAAUACUCGCUGUUUGCGAUAUACAGUAAGCGGCCAAGCGAAAGCAUUAAGUAUUCCACCUGGGGAGUACGCCGGCAACGGUGAA